GGUAGUCCACGCUGUAAACGAUGUGUGCUAGACGUUGGGGAGCCUAGCUCUUCGGUGUCGCAGCUAACGCUUUAAGCACACCGCCUGGGGAGUACGGCCGCAAGGUUAAAACUCAAAGGGAAUUGACGGGGGCCCGCACAAGCGGUGGAGCAUGUGGUUUAAUUCGACGCAACGCGAAGAACCUUACCAGCCCUUGACAUGUCCCGUGUGGGCAGGGGAGACCCUGUUCUUCAGUUCGGCUGGCGGGAACACAGGUGCUGCAUGGCUGUCGUCAGCUCGUGUCGUGAGAUGUUGGGUUAAG
This 301-nucleotide ribosomal RNA is filed under the name uncultured bacterium. Its description in RNAcentral is "bacterial SSU rRNA". It matches the Rfam family "Bacterial small subunit ribosomal RNA", at positions 789 to 1084 of the family's 1533-position model. The record is from RNAcentral.